Molecule: ribosomal RNA, 237 nt
Filed under: uncultured bacterium
Lineage: Bacteria
Description: partial 16S ribosomal RNA
Rfam family: Bacterial small subunit ribosomal RNA
Source: RNAcentral
UGAGCAAUCUGCCCUUCUCAUCGGAAUAAGCGUUGGAAACGACGUCUAAUGCCGAAUACGACCUCCUUUCACAUGAUCGGAGGUGGAAAGCUCCGGCGGAGAAGGAUGAGCUCGCGGCCUAUCAGCUAGUUGGUGUGGGUAACGCCCACAAGGCGACGACGGGUAGCCGGCCUGAGAGGGUGACCCGGCCACACGUGGGACUGAGACACGGCCCAGACCUCCGUACGGGAGGNAGCG